RNAcentral lists this ribosomal RNA (433 nucleotides) under uncultured bacterium. Its description in RNAcentral is "bacterial SSU rRNA". It matches the Rfam family "Bacterial small subunit ribosomal RNA", at positions 30 to 410 of the family's 1533-position model. The record is from RNAcentral.
AUUGAACACUGGCGGCAUGCCUUACACAUGCAAGUCGAACGUGAAAGCGGGGCAACCCGCAAGUAGAGUGGCGGACGGGUGAGUAAUACAUCGGAACGUGUCCAGUAAUGGGGGAUAACCUAGCGAAAGUUAGGCUAAUACCGCAUACGAUCUGCGGAUGAAAGCGGGGGAUGCGGCACUAAAAGCUUUUGGUGAAGGUCGCCAAAGGCAGGCCAAGAGCUUUUAGUGCUGCACCUCGCGUUAUUGGAGCGGCUGAUGUCUGAUUAGCUAGUUGGUGAGGUAAAGGCUUACCAAGGCGACGAUCAGUAGCUGGUCUGAGAGGACGGCCAGCCACACUGGGACUGAGACACGGCCCAGACUCCUACGGGAGGCAGCAGUGGGGAAUUUUGGACAAUGGGGGCAACCCUGAUCCAGCCAUGUCGCGUGAGUGAAG